AUAGUGGAUAUUUCUCGGAGUUUGGCCCGUGGUUUUUCCCUCUAAAUUUGGGAGGGUUUUCCACGUAAAUUUUGGUGUUCCGAUUGCUUGUGUUAUUUUCCAUAUUGUUCAACGACCGAGUAAAGUGAGAAUUAAUAUUUUAUUCCCAACAAUUCGAUCAUUACGUCAACUUGCUUUACAUGUGCUCAUGUGCUAAGUGUACUUAUGGUGUGUAAAAUGAUGCUAAAUUAGUCUUUCAUCGCGCUAGGUGCUCACCUUUUUUCUCUGGGUGGAAGCUGGCGGGCAGGGCUGCCCUCUACUUUUGGUGAUCUUUAACUGUGGUCGCACAAUAAUCAUUAUGGACGCAUCUAUGAAAUUUAGCCAUUCCCAUGCUAGGCCCGUGCUACCUUCUAGUUUGAUAUAAAAUUUCUCUAGUUCACUGGGUUUGGACUGGAUUAGGUUUAAUUUGUUUUGACAGCAUAAUGAAAGUUAGCAUAAUUAUGAAGAAGAAAGUUAUUAUUUGAUUUAAGUAUUCAAUAUCAAAGUUGCUGGUUCUAUUAAUGUUAAAUCUGGCCGACUAUUGAUGUAACAAUCCUAUAUUCUUUUAUACAAAUAGGUAAGACAGAUACAUUAUUUAUUUUUUCUACUUGGUAAAUUAUUUUUGGAUAGUCACGUUUCUUGGUCCUUGAAGUAAAGAAAUAAUGUUAUUAGUCCUCAAAUUUCAAAGCACAUCAAAUACAUUUGGUAUUUGAUUUCCUUUUGUUCUUCAAAAUAGACAACUUUGUUGUGUUAUAUAUGUUGGGUUUUUAAGGUAUUUAAUUAAUAUAUUAAAUAUUUAAAAGAGGGGUGAAUGGAAAAUGAAGAAAUGAAUGUUUUGAGUGUAAGUUUCUCCCCUUGGUAUAUGGGCAUUGUCUUAUAAUGGAAGAGGAAGAGAUUUUUUAUAGGUUUAUAAGAAAUUGCUCUUCUUUUAGCUACUAAAGAGUUGAGAAGAAAGCAACCUCGCGCCGUCGUCGUCGUCGCUCGUUGAUUAACUUUUUGGACCAAAUUUAUUUAUUAAUGGUAAAAUAUUAACAGAAAUGCAUUAUUAAAUAUUUGUAAAUAAUAAAAU
Molecule: long non-coding RNA, 1087 nt
Filed under: Nicotiana benthamiana
Lineage: Eukaryota; Viridiplantae; Streptophyta; Magnoliopsida; Solanales; Solanaceae
Description: long non-coding RNA (NBEN_LNC018295)
Source: RNAcentral